AUUGAACGCUGGCGGCAGGCUUAACACAUGCAAGUCGAGCGGGGUGAUGGUGCUUGCACUAUCACUUAGCGGCGGACGGGUGAGUAAUGCUUAGGAAUCUGCCUAUUAGUGGGGGACAACAUCUCGAAAGGGAUGCUAAUACCGCAUACGUCCUACGGGAGAAAGCAGGGGAUCACUUGUGACCUUGCGCUAAUAGAUGAGCCUAAGUCGGAUUAGCUAGUUGGUGGGGUAAAGGCCUACCAAGGCGACGAUCUGUAGCGGGUCUGAGAGGAGGAUCCGCCACACUGGGACUGAGACACGGCCCAGACGCCUACGGGAGGCAGCAGUGGGGAAUAUUGGACAAUGGGGGGAACCCUAAUCCAGCCAUGCCGCGUGUGUGAAGAAGGCCUUAUGGUUGUAAAGCACUUUAAGCGAGGAGGAGGCUCUUUUGGUUAAUACCCAAGAUGAGUGGACGUUACUCGCAGAAUAAGCACCGGCUAACUCUGUGCCAGCAGCCGCCGUAA
RNAcentral lists this ribosomal RNA (503 nucleotides) under uncultured bacterium. RNAcentral's name for it is "partial 16S ribosomal RNA". It matches the Rfam family "Bacterial small subunit ribosomal RNA", at positions 30 to 523 of the family's 1533-position model. The record is from RNAcentral.